RNAcentral lists this transfer RNA (77 nucleotides) under Citrifermentans bemidjiense Bem. RNAcentral's name for it is "tRNA-Met (CAT) (tRNA-Met-CAT-1-1)". It matches the Rfam family "tRNA". Rfam says of the family: Transfer RNA (tRNA) molecules are approximately 80 nucleotides in length. The record is from RNAcentral. Lineage: Bacteria; Pseudomonadati; Thermodesulfobacteriota; Desulfuromonadia; Geobacterales; Geobacteraceae. RNAcentral also lists the same sequence under 2 other names.
GGCGGUGUAGCUCAGUUGGUUAGAGCAUACGGUUCAUAUCCGUAGUGUCCGGGGUUCGAGUCCCUGCACCGCCACCA